Molecule: long non-coding RNA, 435 nt
Filed under: Mytilus galloprovincialis (Mediterranean mussel)
Lineage: Eukaryota; Metazoa; Mollusca; Bivalvia; Mytilida; Mytilidae
Source: RNAcentral
AUUUAAAGUAGUGUUGUCAAAUCGUACACUUUUGCCUAACCGGUUACUCGGAUAAUCGUUCGACCGAUUAACCGGUUAACCGAUAAUUUAAGUUGGUGUUUGAAAGCCUUAUCAAAAGAACCCUACACAUAGAUAUAAGAUGUGGUAUGAUUGUCAAUUUGUCAACCUUUCAUCAAAGUCAUAAAUACGCUUUUAGAAUUGAAGUUUUUCCUUUAGCAUUAUAAGGCUUGUCUGUGAGGAUUCCUGGCGAAGUUUGACUUUAAUAAUCAAAUACACGUAUCAACUAUAGCGUUUGUACCAACUUCAGAUUAAAAUAUAAAAAAAAAAUCUUAAUCUCGUAGAAUUGAAUAUGUCAUAUGUCUGAAACCGAUUAUUCUUUCCUUUUCUCUUGUUGUCUCCGAAAAUAAUGGGUGUGUUUCAAUUUGAAAUGAUUAA